This 123-nucleotide ribosomal RNA is filed under the name uncultured bacterium. Its description in RNAcentral is "partial 16S ribosomal RNA". It matches the Rfam family "Bacterial small subunit ribosomal RNA", at positions 233 to 353 of the family's 1533-position model. The record is from RNAcentral.
AGAUGGGAUUAGCUAGUAGGUGGGGUAAAGGCUCACCUAGGCGACGAUCCCUAGCUGGUCUGAGAGGAUGACCAGCCACACUGGAACUGAGACACGGUCCAGACUCCUACGGGAGGCAGCAUG